RNAcentral lists this ribosomal RNA (468 nucleotides) under uncultured bacterium. RNAcentral describes it as "partial 16S ribosomal RNA". It matches the Rfam family "Bacterial small subunit ribosomal RNA", at positions 28 to 507 of the family's 1533-position model. The record is from RNAcentral.
GACGAACGCUGGCGGCGUGCUUAACACAUGCAAGUCGAACGGAAAGGCCCUGCUUUUGUGGGGUGCUCGAGUGGCGAACGGGUGAGUAACACGUGAGUAACCUGCCCUUGACUUUGGGAUAACUUCAGGAAACUGGGGCUAAUACCGGAUAGGAGCUCCUGCUGCAUGGUGGGGGUUGGAAAGUUUCGGCGGUUGGGGAUGGACUCGCGGCUUAUCAGCUUGUUGGUGGGGUAGUGGAUUACCAAGGCUUUGACGGGUAGCCGGCCUGAGAGGGGGACCGGCCACAUUGGGACUGAGAUACGGCCCAGACUCCUACGGGAGGCAGCAGUGGGGAAUAUUGCACAAUGGGCGGAAGCCUGAUGCAGCAACGCCGCGUGCGGGAUGACGGCCUUCGGGUUGUAAACCGCUUUCGCCUGUGACGAAGCGUGAGUGACGGUAAUGGGUAAAGAAGCACCGGCUAACUACGUG